AGGAUUAACGCUGGCGGCGUGCAUGAAACAUGCAAGUCGAGCGCGGUGUGAUGAGGGGUAACCCAAUUCACAUCUAGCGGCGAACGGGUGAGUAACACGUGAGCAACCUACCUUUGAGUUGGGGAUAGCCCUGGGAAACCAGGAUUAAUACCCGAUGUGGUCACAACAGGACAUCCUGAUGUGAGUAAAGGCGUAAGCCGCUCAAUGACGGGCUCGCGGCCUAUUAGCUUGUUGGUGGGGUAACGGCCUACCAAGGCGAUGAUGGGUAGCUGGUCUGAGAGGACGAUCAGCCACACUGGGACUGAGACACGGCCCAGACUCCUACGGGAGGCAGCAGUUGGGAAUCUUGCGCAAUGGGCGAAAGCCUGACGCAGCAACGCCGCGUGCGGGAAGAGGCCCUAGGGUUGUAAACCGCUUCAGUAGGAACGAAAUGACGGUACCUGCAGAAGAAGGUGCGGCCAACUACGUGCCAGCAGGCCGCGGUAAUCGUA
This 491-nucleotide ribosomal RNA is filed under the name uncultured bacterium. RNAcentral describes it as "SSU rRNA". It matches the Rfam family "Bacterial small subunit ribosomal RNA", at positions 26 to 529 of the family's 1533-position model. The record is from RNAcentral.